Molecule: ribosomal RNA, 301 nt
Filed under: uncultured Methanolobus sp.
Lineage: Archaea; Methanobacteriati; Methanobacteriota; Methanomicrobia; Methanosarcinales; Methanosarcinaceae
Description: bacterial SSU rRNA
Rfam family: Bacterial small subunit ribosomal RNA (bases 53-301)
Source: RNAcentral
AAAAAAGGUGGGGUAAGCUGUCUGGGGUAUGCGAAGGGGGUGAGGGGUGGUGGGAAGGACUGGGGGUUAAUCGCGCGGCAGCGGCUAUCCAAGUCAGUGUGGUAAGACCGGUGCUGAGCGCCGGAACUGCCAUUGAAACUGUUUAGCUGGAGUAUGAGAGAGGUGAGUGGAAUGCCCAGUGUAGAGGUGAAAUUCGUAGAUAUUGGGAGGAACACCGGUGGCGAAGGCGGCUCACUGGCUCAUUACUGACGCUCAUGCGCGACAGCGUGGGGAUCAAACAGGAUUAGAUACCCCUGUAGUC